RNAcentral lists this ribosomal RNA (208 nucleotides) under uncultured bacterium. RNAcentral describes it as "partial 16S ribosomal RNA". It matches the Rfam family "Bacterial small subunit ribosomal RNA", at positions 126 to 334 of the family's 1533-position model. The record is from RNAcentral.
CUGCCCCUAACUGGGAGAUAGCCCUCCGAAAGGAGGAUUAAUACCCCAUAAUAUCAUUGUCAGGCAUCUGAUGAUGAUUAAAGCUCCGGCGGUUAGGGAUGAAUAUGCGUCUCAUUAGCUUGUUGGUGAGGUAACGGCUCACCAAGGCGACGAUGAGUAGCUGGUCUGAGAGGAUGAUCAGUCACACGGGCACUGAGACACGGGCCCG